RNAcentral lists this transfer RNA (60 nucleotides) under Ergasilus tumidus. Its description in RNAcentral is "tRNA-Asn". The record is from RNAcentral. Lineage: Eukaryota; Metazoa; Arthropoda; Copepoda; Poecilostomatoida; Ergasilidae.
UUACUCAAAGCUAAAAGCGUGUAACUGUUACUUACAAGAUGAAGUUUAUUUCUGAGUAAA